ACGUAAAUGAGGCAGUUGGGAACUGUCCUGCAUCGUUUCACUAUGGCGGAGACACCGCGAAGAUACUAUUGAUGAUAAUAAAUAGUAGUAGAUUGUGAUUUUUUAAAAGACUACUUUCACAUACAAUGUGGUUAGUAUAUGUAUGGAUGGUAUCGAUGGGCAGUGGUAACAAGUUUAGUAUUUUUAACGAUAUUGAUAUCCAAAAUGUACUUGACUAUCUAACCUUAUUUCUCAAAAAUAGUCUGAAGAACACAAUAUUGAGGCAGCAGUGAGGAACCUGUUGAGCUGCAUCAGGAGCGAGAGGGCCUCACCAGCACCUCCUGCUAGGGCCUCACCAGCACCUCCUGCUAUGGCCUCACCAGCACCUCCUGCUUGGGCCUCACCAGCACCUCCUGCUAGGGCCUCACCAGCACCUCCUGCUAGGGCCUCACCAGCACCUCCUGCUUGGGCCUCACCAGCACCUCCUGCUAUGGCCUCACCAGCACCUCCUGCUUGGGCCUCACCAGCACCUCCUGCUGCCCCACUGGUUCCUCAAGGUGUUCGGCAGACAUCCCAGAUGGCCUUGCAGAGAAACUUCCCAGCCGCCUUUGGUUGUGGCGGGAAAAGGAAGCGUAAAACAGCUCACCAGCUCACCCCGCCACCAUUAUUUGUCAAAUAUGUGGAGCUGCAAUUUUGCCUCUUGGAAGGCAACAACAAACAUGCACCAAAGGAUGAAUUCGUCCUCCUACAGGCAGGUCUUGGCAGGAGGACAGUAAACAUCAGUGAAAAUGCCAACCAUGAAGAUGUAAGCUUUUAGUAACUAUGAAUAUCAUUGACGUUUUUAUUGGUCUAUCUAUCUAGAUUCCAUACCAUUGUAUCCUAUCUUUGGUGUGAUUUCAUAACACUGUCUAUGUCUACAUGACCAACUUCUAUAGAUAAACAGAGCUCUCCAGGAGGAAUACCCCAAAAUGAGGGGACUAAGUGGAGGGUGGCUUUUUAAAAAGUCUGCAGGUGAGAUGAUAAUUUAAUAACUAUGUAAUUACCUACUGCUUAUUAUAGGGCUCUUCUACUAUACUGGCUCCUCUAAUACUAGUAGAUGGUGGUCACCCUACCCAUCAUUGAACCUGAGUUUCAAGUGUACCAAACAUGACACUUGAUCACAAUGCCAGGGACAGUAUGGUAGACAGACUUCAUACUCAACUCUAGUGACGAGGCACUCCAUACAAGUGGACACUUCCAGUCUUUCUACAUUCUAAUAUAUAUCCAUUUAUGUACUACUUUCACUGGCAAGGGUUCUGAUUCACAAUGCUUCUGAUUCACAUCUUUCAUAUCG
RNAcentral lists this long non-coding RNA (1312 nucleotides) under Gadus morhua (Atlantic cod). RNAcentral describes it as "lncRNA (ENSGMOG00000023394.1)". The record is from RNAcentral. Lineage: Eukaryota; Metazoa; Chordata; Actinopteri; Gadiformes; Gadidae.